AGCGUUUGACAUGGUAGGUCGGUUUCCAGAGAUGGAUUCCUCCCCUUACGGGGCCUACACACAGGUGCUGCAUGGCUGUCGUCAGCUCGUGUCGUGAGAUGUUGGGUUAAGUCCCGCAACGAGCGCAACCCUCGUCUCUAGUUGCUACCAUUUAGUUGGGCACUCUAGAGAAACUGCCGGUGAUAAGCCGGAGGAAGGUGGGGAUGACGUCAAGUCCUCAUGGCCCUUACGCGCUGGGCUACACACGUGCUACAAUGGCGGUGACAGUGAGCAGCGACCCCGCGAGGGUGAGCUAAUCUCCAAAAGCCGUCUCAGUUCGGAUUGUUCUCUGCAACUCGAGAGCAUGAAGGCGGAAUCGCUAGUAAUCGCGGAUCAGCAUGCCGCGGUGAAUACGUUCCCAGGCCUUGUACACACCGCCCGUCACACCAUGGGAGUUGGUUUCACCCGAAGGCGCUACGCUAACCGCAAAGGAGGCAAGGCGACCACGGUGGGAUCAGCGACUGGGGUG
RNAcentral lists this ribosomal RNA (508 nucleotides) under uncultured bacterium. RNAcentral's name for it is "bacterial SSU rRNA". It matches the Rfam family "Bacterial small subunit ribosomal RNA", at positions 976 to 1482 of the family's 1533-position model. The record is from RNAcentral.